This is a non-coding RNA of Domibacillus antri, 106 nucleotides long. NCBI's taxonomy places the organism in Bacteria, Bacillati, Bacillota, Bacilli, Caryophanales, Bacillaceae. The record is from Rfam.
GUGAAGUUGAUCACAAACAAACAUAUACCCCUUUGUUUGACCGUGAAAAAUUUCUCCCAUCCCCUUUGUUCGUAAGAAAAAGCUCCGCUUUGGCGGAGCUUUUUCU